This 535-nucleotide long non-coding RNA is filed under the name Strigops habroptila (Kakapo). RNAcentral's name for it is "lncRNA (ENSSHBG00005005245.1)". The record is from RNAcentral. Lineage: Eukaryota; Metazoa; Chordata; Aves; Psittaciformes; Psittacidae.
GGCGACGCUCUGCGGUCAACAGAGAGGUGGAGGGACUCUCCUCGUCCCGCGGAGGGCCUGACCAGGGGCGGUUGGGGGCUGCGGAGCUUCAGGGCCGCGGGGCGGCCGGUCUCCGGAGGCGGCCAGGAAGGCGGGGGCUCCGCUAGGACCUCUGCUGAAGGAAGGCUUUGAAAGCAAAUAAGACGCUGUGGAAAGUAGAAUGUCAGAAGAUACUGAGGGAAUUGAAAAAGAAAUAGAAGUUGAAUUAAGCAGAAUCAGUGUUUCUUCCUUUGAAGCAGAUGAUCCUGACACAGAGGUAUCAGAUGGAGCUUUGAGUGACAGUGAGAUGAUUUCAGAUGACUUGCCAAAAUCAGUUAUCUCCUAUUUAAACUUUAUAAAGAGCAGAAAUCAAGAUGCUGAAAAGUUUAUACUGCAAGACUUAAAAGAUGAAGAAACUACAGGUAGCAUUUAUGGAGUAGUUUCUUGCCAUGCUUCAGAUUACUUGGCAGAAUUGUCUUCUGAAUAUAAUGAAGAUCCAGAACAAUUAAAAAAAAAG